CAUGAGUAGUUUUGGACCCGUGUCUGCUUGUAGGUCCCCCGUCUUUGUGCGGCUGACUACGGCGCCGUGUCCCGUCGUUCCAAUGGUCUAUGCUACCGUUUCCCUUCAAGUGCUUGCGUGCUGGUACCCGAACUACGGGUAGUGGUGCUAUGUACAGGUUGCCUCGCGGUGGACGCCUUCGGGUGUGCUGCUGCGGCCAUAUGGUGGUUGCGGCGUUGCCUCAUUGUGCCAACACGUUAUCGUGUCUGGUGCUAUCAAGGGAACCUCGCUCCUGCUGUUGGUCUUGGAUGUUGCUCACGAUAAAGUGUCAUGGCCCUUUCGGUUGCCAUUACCCGACCCUAAAAUGCUCUCCAAAAUGAGAACAACCGGAACAGGUGUUGCCUCUACCUCUCCACAGUUAGUGGUAGGAUACGCAACAUUUUGCGCCGAUCCUCAAAGUAGGACGAGCUUUGGCCCGCUCAAUUGUGACAACCGGCCCGGCUGUUGCCUCUGCCUUGACACGCAAGUGGAUGGGCGGACAACUACCGACGCUGGACGUCAACGAGGACGUGCU
RNAcentral lists this unclassified non-coding RNA (553 nucleotides) under Colpodium trichopodum. RNAcentral's name for it is "Zingeria biebersteiniana subsp. trichopoda partial external transcribed spacer". The record is from RNAcentral. Lineage: Eukaryota; Viridiplantae; Streptophyta; Magnoliopsida; Poales; Poaceae.